RNAcentral lists this ribosomal RNA (292 nucleotides) under uncultured bacterium. RNAcentral's name for it is "partial 16S ribosomal RNA". It matches the Rfam family "Bacterial small subunit ribosomal RNA", at positions 505 to 796 of the family's 1533-position model. The record is from RNAcentral.
GUGUCAGCAGCCGCGGUAAAACGUAGGAGGCGAGCGUUAUCCGGAUUUACUGGGCGUAAAGCGCACGCAGGCGGCUUCGUUAGUCGGACGUGAAAGCUCCUGGCUUAACUGGGAGAGGCCGUUCGAUACUGCGGGGCUCGAGGUUGGAAGAGGGGUGCGGAAUUCCCGGUGUAGUGGUGGAAUGCGUAGAUAUCGGGAGGAACACCUGUGGCGAAAGCGGCACCCUGGUCCACACCUGACGCUGAGGUGCGAAAGCGUGGGGAGCAAACAGGAUUAGAAACCCCAGUAGUCC